CCGCCAGAAUAUUACAGGUGAAAAACUUAAAACUCAAAGGACUUGGCGGUGUCCCAACCGACCUAGAGGAGCCUGUCCUAUAAUCGAUACCCCCCGUUUCACCCAACCUCUACUAGCACCCCCAGCCUAUAUACCGCCGUCGACAGUCUACCCCAUGAGGGCCCANUAGUANACAAAAUAGUUUAAUCACUAAAACGUCAGGUCAAGGUGUAGCAAAUGUUGAGGAAGCGAUUGGCUACAUUUUUUAUAAUAAAAAAACACGAAAUACAAUAUGAAACCCUGUAUGAAGGUGAAUUGAGCAGUAAAAU
Molecule: ribosomal RNA, 308 nt
Filed under: Acanthodactylus orientalis
Lineage: Eukaryota; Metazoa; Chordata; Lepidosauria; Squamata; Lacertidae
Description: partial 12S ribosomal RNA
Rfam family: Bacterial small subunit ribosomal RNA
Source: RNAcentral